UACGUAGGGUGCGAGCGUUAAUCGGAAUUACUGGGCGUAAAGCGUGCGCAGGCGGCGCGUUAAGACAGGUGUGAAAGCCCCGAGCUUAACUUGGGAAUUGCGCUUGUGACUGGCGUGCUGGAGUGUGGCAGAGGGAGGUGGAAUUCCACGUGUAGCAGUGAAAUGCGUAGAGAUGUGGAGAAACACCGAUGGCGAAGGCAGCCUCCUGGGCCAGCACUGACGCUCAUGCACGAAAGCGUGGGGAGCAAACAGG
This 253-nucleotide ribosomal RNA is filed under the name uncultured bacterium. RNAcentral describes it as "partial 16S ribosomal RNA". It matches the Rfam family "Bacterial small subunit ribosomal RNA", at positions 524 to 776 of the family's 1533-position model. The record is from RNAcentral.